CCUACGGGAGGCAGCAGUGGGGAAUAUUGCACAAUGGGCGCAAGCCUGAUGCAGCAACGCCGCGUGAGGGACGACGGCCUUCGGGUUGUAAACCUCUUUUAGCAGGGAAGAAGCGAAAGUGACGGUACCUGCAGAAAAAGCGCCGGCUAACUACGUGCCAGCAGCCGCGGUAAUACGUAGGGCGCAAGCGUUAUCCGGAAUUAUUGGGCGUAAAGAGCUCGUAGGCGGUUUGUCGCGUCUGCUGUGAAAUCCGGAGGCUCAACCUCCGGCCUGCAGUGGGUACGGGCAGACUAGAGUGCGGUAGGGGAGAUUGGAAUUCCUGGUGUAGCGGUGGAAUGCGCAGAUAUCAGGAGGAACACCGAUGGCGAAGGCAGAUCUCUGGGCCGUAACUGACGCUGAGGAGCGAAAGGGUGGGGAGCAAACAGGCUUAGAUACCCUGGUAGUCCACCCGUAAACGUUGGGAACUAGUUGUGGGGUCCAUUCCACGGAUUCCGUGACGCAGCUAACGCAUUAAGUUCCCCGCCUGGGGAGUACGGCCGCAAGGCUAAAACUUAAAUGAAUUGACGG
Molecule: ribosomal RNA, 567 nt
Filed under: uncultured bacterium
Lineage: Bacteria
Description: bacterial SSU rRNA
Rfam family: Bacterial small subunit ribosomal RNA
Source: RNAcentral